UGUCAGGGAGUUCUGGAGAGUGAGAAAGUCCCCCUGAGCCUCCUUUUCUCCAGGCUGAACCCCCUCAGCUCCUUCGGCUGCUCCCCAUA
This is a long non-coding RNA of Corvus hawaiiensis (hawaiian crow), 89 nucleotides long. RefSeq lists it as uncharacterized. NCBI's taxonomy places the organism in Eukaryota, Metazoa, Chordata, Aves, Passeriformes, Corvidae. The record is from RefSeq and is a predicted model, not a curated record. The transcript has 3 exons.